Molecule: small RNA, 151 nt
Filed under: Capra hircus (goat)
Lineage: Eukaryota; Metazoa; Chordata; Mammalia; Artiodactyla; Bovidae
Description: sRNA (ENSCHIG00000003117.1)
Source: RNAcentral
GUCUCCUGAGCCUCAAUAAUGCAUGAUCCAUACCCGGAGAUAAAAGUCUAGACAAUAGAUGGCUGUUUAUGACAACAAGGCUCUCCAAGUUUGGGGCUAGGCGAUAAAUCUCUGGCAAAUCUUCCUGUAACUCAACUUCUGGCUGUAGUGA